This 497-nucleotide ribosomal RNA is filed under the name uncultured bacterium. Its description in RNAcentral is "partial 16S ribosomal RNA". It matches the Rfam family "Bacterial small subunit ribosomal RNA", at positions 28 to 507 of the family's 1533-position model. The record is from RNAcentral.
GAUGAACGCUGGCGGCGUGCCUAAUACAUGCAAGUCGAGCGAACGGACGAGAAGCUUGCUUCUCUGAUGUUAGCGGCGGACGGGUGAGUAACACGUGGAUAACCUGCCUAUAAGACUGGGACAACUUCGGGAAACCGGAGCUAAUACCGGAUAAUAUUUUGAACCGCAUGGUUCAAAAGUGAAAGACGGUCUUGCUGUCACUUAUAGAUGGAUCCGCGCUGCAUUAGCUAGUUGGUAAGGUAACGGCUUACCAAGGCAACGAUGCAUAGCCGACCUGAGAGGGUGAUCGGCCACACUGGAACUGAGACACGGUCCAGACUCCUACGGGAGGCAGCAGUAGGGAAUCUUCCGCAAUGGGCGAAAGCCUGACGGAGCAACGCCGCGUGAGUGAUGAAGGUCUUCGGAUCGUAAAACUCUGUUAUUAGGGAAGAACAUAUGUGUAAGUAACUGUGCACAUCUUGACGGUACCUAAUCAGAAAGCCACGGCUAACUACGUG